UAAUGAUGAAAUAAACCGAAAAUAGCUGGAAUUACCGACAGAUUGUUGGUGGUGAGAAGGUUUUUCUGAAU
Non-coding RNA from Chelonia mydas (Green sea turtle), 71 nucleotides. Lineage: Eukaryota; Metazoa; Chordata; Testudines; Cheloniidae. The record is from Rfam.